AGUGAACGCUGGCGGUAGGCCUAACACAUGCAAGUCGAACGGCAGCACAGUAAGAGCUUGCUCUUACGGGUGGCGAGUGGCGGACGGGUGAGGAAUACAUCGGAAUCUACUUUUUCGUGGGGGAUAACGUAGGGAAACUUACGCUAAUACCGCAUACGACCUACGGGUGAAAGCAGGGGAUCUUCGGACCUUGCGCGAUUGAAUGAGCCGAUGUCGGAUUAGCUAGUUGGCGGGGUAAAGGCCCACCAAGGCGACGAUCCGUAGCUGGUCUGAGAGGAUGAUAAGCCACACUGGAACUGAGACACGGUCCAGACUCCUACGGGAGGCAGCAGUGGGGAAUAUUGGACAAUGGGAGCAAGCCUGAUCCAGCCAUACCGCGUGGGUGAAGAAGGCCUUCGGGUUGUAAAGCCCUUUUGUUGGGAAAGAAAAGCAGCAGGUUAAUACCCCGCUGUUCUGACGGUACCCAAAGAAUAAGCACCGGCUAACUUCGUG
Molecule: ribosomal RNA, 492 nt
Filed under: uncultured bacterium
Lineage: Bacteria
Description: partial 16S ribosomal RNA
Rfam family: Bacterial small subunit ribosomal RNA
Source: RNAcentral